RNAcentral lists this ribosomal RNA (490 nucleotides) under uncultured bacterium. Its description in RNAcentral is "partial 16S ribosomal RNA". It matches the Rfam family "Bacterial small subunit ribosomal RNA", at positions 30 to 507 of the family's 1533-position model. The record is from RNAcentral.
AUUGAACGCUGGCGGCAGGCUUAACACAUGCAAGUCGAACGGUAACAGGAAGAAGCUUGCUUCUUUGCUGACGAGUGGCGGACGGGUGAGUAAUGUCUGGGAAACUGCCUGAUGGAGGGGGAUAACUACUGGAAACGGUAGCUAAUACCGCAUAACGUCGCAAGACCAAAGAGGGGGACCUUCGGGCCUCUUGCCAUCGGAUGUGCCCAGAUGGGAUUAGCUAGUAGGUGGGGUAACGGCUCACCUAGGCGACGAUCCCUAGCUGGUCUGAGAGGAUGACCAGCCACACUGGAACUGAGACACGGUCCAGACUCCUACGGGAGGCAGCAGUGGGGAAUAUUGCACAAUGGGCGCAAGCCUGAUGCAGCCAUGCCGCGUGUAUGAAGAAGGCCUUCGGGUUGUAAAGUACUUUCAGCGGGGAGGAAGGGAGUAAAGUUAAUACCUUUGCUCAUUGACGUUACCCGCAGAAGAAGCACCGGCUAACUCCGUG